UGGUGUAGUGGUUAUCACGUCUGCUUUACACGCAGUAGAUCACUGGUUCGAUUCCGUG
Molecule: transfer RNA, 58 nt
Filed under: Angiostrongylus costaricensis
Lineage: Eukaryota; Metazoa; Nematoda; Chromadorea; Rhabditida; Metastrongylidae
Rfam family: tRNA
About the family: Transfer RNA (tRNA) molecules are approximately 80 nucleotides in length. Their secondary structure includes four short double-helical elements and three loops (D, anti-codon, and T loops).
Source: Rfam by way of RNAcentral